GCUAUAGCCAAGCGGUAAGGCACAGGACUUUGACUCCUGGAUUCGCGGGUUCGAAUCCCGCUGG
This 64-nucleotide transfer RNA is filed under the name bovine gut metagenome. It matches the Rfam family "tRNA", at positions 5 to 66 of the family's 71-position model. From Rfam's summary of the family: Transfer RNA (tRNA) molecules are approximately 80 nucleotides in length. Their secondary structure includes four short double-helical elements and three loops (D, anti-codon, and T loops). Further hydrogen bonds mediate the characteristic L-shaped molecular structure. tRNAs have two regions of fundamental functional importance: the anti-codon, which is responsible for specific mRNA codon recognition, and the 3' end, to which the tRNAs corresponding amino acid is attached (by aminoacyl-tRNA synthetases). tRNAs cope with the degeneracy of the genetic code in two manners: having more than one tRNA (with a specific anti-codon) for a particular amino acid; and 'wobble' base-pairing, i.e. permitting non-standard base-pairing at the 3rd anti-codon position. The record is from RNAcentral.